UUAAACGGUAGGGUAUUGGCCUACCGUGGCAAUGACGGGUAACGGGGAAUUAGGGUUCGAUUCCGGAGAGGGAGCCUGAGAAACGGCUACCACAUCUAAGGAAGGCAGCAGGCGCGCAAAUUACCCAAUCCUAAUACAGGGAGGUAGUGACAAGAAAUAACAAUACAGGACUUUUUGGUUUUGUAAUUGGAAUGAGUUAAGUCC
This 204-nucleotide ribosomal RNA is filed under the name Cryptosporidium parvum. Its description in RNAcentral is "partial 18S ribosomal RNA". It matches the Rfam family "Eukaryotic small subunit ribosomal RNA", at positions 321 to 526 of the family's 1831-position model. Lineage: Eukaryota; Apicomplexa; Conoidasida; Eucoccidiorida; Cryptosporidiidae. The record is from RNAcentral.